Molecule: ribosomal RNA, 119 nt
Filed under: Trypanosoma theileri
Lineage: Eukaryota; Euglenozoa; Kinetoplastea; Trypanosomatida; Trypanosomatidae
Source: RNAcentral
GGGUGCGAGCAUACUUGGCCAAACACACCAGCAUAUAUCCUUUCCUAUAUGUGAUGUAAAGCGGCCACAGGUGCCUUUAGUACGGCAAACACCAAUUACAGCACUGGAAUACGGGUGCC